This is a regulatory RNA element of 108 nucleotides. It matches the Rfam family "purD RNA motif". The record is from Rfam.
GUAGUCAGAUGGUGUGCAGCGAUUCAUUGCGUUCUCGCUCCUAAAAUUUGCACUUGUCUGCAAUUUGUGGCUUAUGUGGGCCAUUUAGUGGUUAACGGCUACUUGGAU